GGUGUAUGUUUAACAUACACCCUGCUGUACUGAAAGCAUAAAUCAACUAUUGCAUCAUUAAUAAAUGAUGCAAUAGUCUAUUUUUGUGAAUGGUGUAAGAAAGUGCAUAAAUGACGUAAGGGAAGCCAUUAACGUAAAAUUAGCAAAAUUUUGAGAAUAAAUGUAAGUUAGAAAGUUUUAGGUAUGGCUUUCUUUUUUUUAAUUUGUUUUUUAAACGCCACAAAUGUACGAAACAGUAGGCAUUGAAAAGCCAUCAGAGUACAAAACAGUAAAAAUUAAAAAACUCAAGACUUAGUAGCUUCAUGAUGAUGUCACGUUUAGUAAUUUUUCUCGUCUUUUUUAACAACGUGGAAUCUAAACGUAUGUGGAAUCUAUCAGAUGAUUAUUAGAGAAAAAAGGGCAAACAUUAAUUCAACAUUUAUACCAACUCGUUGUGGGUUAUACUCAAUGACAAUACAACUAAUGAAAAUACAUCUUCAGCCAGCUCACCUUUUGAUUUACCAAAUUGUGGGAGCUCAAUUCUAUAUGGGUUAUAAAAUGUUUCAAACAGUAUUAUAUUUGUUAAAUGAAAUAUGGUAUAAAUACCAAAGAAAUUAACAGAAAGACAACGCUACACGUUGCUGUACAAAAACUAAGAUUUUGUUUGCCUACACGUAAAGUGUUUGCAUGACGUCAAUGGAUUACGCAGUGUACCUUGUAUACUGCGUAAUCCAUUGACGUCAUGCAAACCCUAUACGUGUAGGCAAGUUUAUCCUUUGAGAAUGUUUAGACUUGUUUAUAAUCUUAUUCAGUUACUGUUUCAUUUUAAAAUAAAUGAUAAUUUUUUAGAUUCUUAUGGUUUGAACGUUGUACAUGAUGAAACAGUUGAAAUAAAUUAUAAUGCGUUAUUUACAUUGCUAAAAUUUGAAGCAAAUCCUAAUACCUUUGAACAUGAUUAAGUUAAUAAGCAAUACAUACAACUAAUCGAUUUGAAAAUUAUGAGAUACGCAGCAUUUUAUUAAUAAAAGUAUUAAAUAACCAACAAGAUGUUUAUUUAAAUUAAGUUUUUUGCAUUAUGCAGCAGUUGAAGACAAAUACCAAAACUUUACAAAAUAUUCAGAUGAUUUCUAUAAAGAUAAAAUAGGAUUGACAACAGAAUGGCAUCAAUAUUUAAUUGAAGAAAAACUGCAUACAGUUUAUUUUUAAAAACCUGAACAAAGCGUUUAAUUAUCGUCAUACUUGAUGGGGGAAAAGGCGCUUUUUUCAACGUUUAAAAAGUAUUGACCAGACGGGAUUUAUUUUGUUAAAGAGCUUGUCAGGUAAUUUUUAAGAAAUGUCCUCUUAAACCAACUGAGUUUUUUAAAAAUGAAGCUAAACAUGCCAUGGAGUUUAUGAAGAAAAUAAUAAAAUAAUAAACAUCUUUUAGAUCAUUUACUGUCAUAAGGUAGUUUACGAAAAGGUGAGUGAAAUUUACAAGAAGAUUAAAAACGAGAAGAUGUAAAGAUUAAAGUACCAAAAAAUUGUGACUAUAUGUGGAUAUCAGACGCAUUUAGUGAUAACUGAAUAUCUUUUAGUAAUACCAGUGAAGUUCAUCCAUCCUUUACUCAAUUUAAAGUUGAUAAAAUAAUGUUACUUUACGAACAUAAUUUGGUUCUAUUAUGAUUAAUGCAACAUUUCAUUGCAAUGAAAUACACGUAAUAUUACGACGUUUCAAUGUCAUAAUGUUACAUUUAGAGGAAAGACGCCUAUGAUAGAAUACUUAACUAUGAAGCUGCAACAUUCAAUAUCUUGAAGACCGAGAGCAAAAGAUUUUUUAUGGAUACGUUUUUUGUUACUUGUAGAACAAUAAUAACCCUAGGAGUUUUCAUCAGUUUUAUUUUUUUUUA
Molecule: long non-coding RNA, 1865 nt
Organism: Hydra vulgaris (swiftwater hydra)
Lineage: Eukaryota; Metazoa; Cnidaria; Hydrozoa; Anthoathecata; Hydridae
Source: RefSeq, a predicted model, not a curated record